GGGAAAGCUCGGAAGCACUGUGACUUGCCUUUGGGAAAUCUCUAGAGAAACCUCACUGCCCUUUCUCAGGAAAUGGAAGUCAGUGCAGUUAAGGACCUGGAAGCUUCCCUACUGCCCAGGUCUGCAAGUGCUUCUGAAAUUACUGAAAGAUCCAGUUUGGCUGAUGUUCCUUUGGAUCAGUGUCUUGGUGGGUUCUUUCAUCUAAAACAAGUGAAUGGACUGGAGUGUGUCAUUUCUACAAAGAAGCCAUCUUCCUCUCCCUCCAUUCCUGACUAAUGAAGAGAAAUUCUUCCCCUAUCACCAUGUUUAGUUCCAGAUACAGAGUAAUAUGUUUCUUUGUCCCCAAAUGACCAUAUGAAUACCCUCUGAAGGGCACUUCACAUUUCUAUUCUCUAGGAGGAUUUUUUUUAACAACUUGUGCCUUGUGGUCUGUUUGAACAAGAAAUCAUUUUACACUCCUGAGUAACACAUUCCUCUUCAACUAUUUCUACAUAACUUCCAGGAUAUGAAAACCACCCAAGGCUCCCCAACAUGGAUGCUUUCUUUCCUCUCAUAAACAAACUCAGCAGUAAUCAUGCCAUUGUGGUCACUCUAGAGUAUUGUGUUGCUUAAGCUUUUCUCCUCUGUCUUUUGUUCUGCCAGACACUGAUUAUGACAUUUUACCCUAAAUCUGGAAUACAAGAAUAUUCUUCUGCUGGCCUCUUGCCUAUAGCCUUUUCCUUUGUUCUCAAUAAGUAUAUGAUAUCAACAUGAUGGAUCCAGACUUGGUAUGGUAGAUUUAAUAAUGGCUAUCAAGAUAGCAGGCCCU
This 808-nucleotide long non-coding RNA is filed under the name Marmota monax (woodchuck). The record is from RNAcentral. Lineage: Eukaryota; Metazoa; Chordata; Mammalia; Rodentia; Sciuridae.